CCCGCUGAACUUAAGCAUAUCAAUAAGCGGAGGAAAAGAAACUAACAAGGAUUCCCUUAGUAACUGCGAGUGAAGUGGGAAAAGCUCAAAUUUAAAAUCUGGCAGUGAUUUGCUGUCCGAGUUGUAACCUAGAGAAGUGUAACCGUCGCUGGACCAUGUAUAAGUCUCCUGGGAUGGAGCGUCAUAGAGGGUGAGAAUCCCGUGUAUGACAUGGACUACCAGUGGAUUGUGGGUGUGCUCUCAAAGAGUUGAGUUGUUUGGGAAUGCAGCUCUAAAAGGGUGGUAAAUUCCAUCUAAAGCUAAAUAUUGGCGAGAGACCGAUAGCGAACAAGUACCGUGAGGGAAAGAUGAAAAGAACUUUGGAAAGAGAGUUAAACAGUAUGUGAAAUUGUUGAAAGGGAAACGUUUGAAGUCAGAGAGGUUGGUCAGGGAUCAGCCUAGCAGUAUUUUUGCUGGGUGGAAUUUCUGGACAACGGGCCAACAUGAGUUUUGACUGCUAGAGAAAGGCAUUGGGAAUGUGGCACCUUUUGGGGUGUGUUAUAGCCCAAAGUCAUAUAGAGCAGUUGGGACUGAGGAAAGCAGCACGCCGCAAUGGCGGGGUUUCGACCACAUUCGUGCUUAGGAUGUUGGCAUUAAUGGCUUUAAGCGACCCGUCUUGAAACACGG
Molecule: ribosomal RNA, 666 nt
Filed under: uncultured fungus
Lineage: Eukaryota; Fungi
Description: eukaryotic LSU rRNA
Rfam family: Eukaryotic large subunit ribosomal RNA
Source: RNAcentral